Molecule: ribosomal RNA, 440 nt
Filed under: uncultured bacterium
Lineage: Bacteria
Description: partial 16S ribosomal RNA
Rfam family: Bacterial small subunit ribosomal RNA
Source: RNAcentral
CCUACGGGAGGCUGCAGUGGGGGAUAUUGCACAAUGGGGGAAACCCUGAUGCAGCGACGCCGCGUGAGUGAAGAAGUAUUUCGGUAUGUAAAGCUCUAUCAGCAGGGAAGAAAAUGACGGUACCUGAUCAAGAAGCCCCGGCUAACUACGUGCCAGCAGCCGCGGUAAUACGUAGGGGGCAAGCGUUAUCCGGAUUUACUGGGUGUAAAGGGAGCGUAGACGGUGAUGCAAGUCAGAAGUGAAAGCCCGUGGCUCAACUCCGGGACUGCUUUUGAAACUGUGUGACUGGAGUGCAGGAGAGGUAAGCGGAAGUCCUGGUGUAGCGGUGAAAUGCGUAGAUAUCAGGAGGAACACCAGUGGCGAAGGCGGCUUGCUGGACUGAAACUGACGUUGAGGCUCGAAAGCGUGGGGAGCAAACAGGAUUAGAUACCCCUGUAGUC